AGUGAAGCGGUAAAAGCUCAAAUUUGAAAUCUUCGGAAUUGUAAUUUGACGGGUAGAAUUUGUUUUUUAAAGAAAGUUCACUGGAAUGUGACGCCACAGAGGGUGAUAGCCCCGUUAACUAAAGAAACUAUUUAAUUCUAUUCCUAAGAGUCGGGUUGUUUGGGAAUGCAGCUCAAAGUGGGUGGUAAAUUCCAUCUAAAGCUAAAUAUUGGCGAGAGACCGAUAGCGAACAAGUACAGUGAUGGAAAGAUGAAAAGAACUUUGAAAAGAGAGUGAAAUAGUACGUGAAAUUGUUGAAAGGGAAGGGAAAGGGGGAGAUAAUUCAAGCUAAUACUUCUGGUGUUGCUUGACCACAUCUUGCUCUUUUCACCCGUCUUGAAACACGGACCAAGGAGUCUAACGAUUAUGCAAGUAUUUGAGUAAAUCCCCAAAUGCGGAAUGAAAGUAAUUGGUCAAACCUACCCUCCUGUUCUUAUGAACGGGAGAGGAAGCAUAAUUAUUAGGACCCGAAAGAUGGUGAACUAUACCUGGAUAGGGUGAAGCCAGAGGAAACUCUGGUGGAAGCUCGUAGCGGUUCUGACGUGCAAAUCGAUCGUCAAAUCUGGGUAUAGGGGG
This 615-nucleotide ribosomal RNA is filed under the name Metschnikowia bowlesiae. RNAcentral describes it as "LSU rRNA". It matches the Rfam family "Eukaryotic large subunit ribosomal RNA", at positions 92 to 924 of the family's 3401-position model. The record is from RNAcentral. Lineage: Eukaryota; Fungi; Ascomycota; Pichiomycetes; Serinales; Metschnikowiaceae.